AAGUAAUCUGUCUUCUGGUAAGACGUCACAAAGAAGAAAAUAAUUGUCCUGUUCUUCUAAGGGAGCUUCUGAGUUUGUUCUUAUCACACUACAAAAGUCUGUGACAGGCUGUUCUGCAAACCUCUUCUUCCAAUAUAAGACGUAUCUUUUAAAAUCCGCAACUAGUUUCACAUCUGCAAUGACGAGCUUGUGUUCAAUUAUCAUGUGCUUCAGGAGCUGGUUUUGUUCUGCUAAGACAUAGCAUUCUUCACAGAAAAUGCAAGGCACAGAGGGAGAACUCUCUACAGUAGCAACACCAUCGGGACUUGCUGGACUUUCUGGCAGAGACAGAGGCUCCAAAAU
This 342-nucleotide long non-coding RNA is filed under the name Gallus gallus (chicken). The record is from RNAcentral. Lineage: Eukaryota; Metazoa; Chordata; Aves; Galliformes; Phasianidae.